RNAcentral lists this transfer RNA (72 nucleotides) under Phrynosoma platyrhinos (Desert horned lizard). RNAcentral's name for it is "tRNA-OTHER". The record is from RNAcentral. Lineage: Eukaryota; Metazoa; Chordata; Lepidosauria; Squamata; Phrynosomatidae.
GCCAGUGUGAUGUAGUGGUUUAAGCAUUAGACUAUGACUUUGAAGACCAGGGUUCAAAUCCCCGUUCAGCCA